This 294-nucleotide RNase P RNA is filed under the name Larimichthys crocea (large yellow croaker). RNAcentral's name for it is "Nuclear RNase P (ENSLCRG00005004340.1)". It matches the Rfam family "Nuclear RNase P". From Rfam's summary of the family: Ribonuclease P (RNase P) is a ubiquitous endoribonuclease, found in archaea, bacteria and eukarya as well as chloroplasts and mitochondria. Its best characterised activity is the generation of mature 5'-ends of tRNAs by cleaving the 5'-leader elements of precursor-tRNAs. The record is from RNAcentral. Lineage: Eukaryota; Metazoa; Chordata; Actinopteri; Sciaenidae.
GUGGGUGGAAGCUCAUUGUAAGGUCACAUGCUGAGUGCUCGUCACUCCACAUCACCUCGGGGAAGGUCUGAGACAGAGCCAUUGUACCCUCACAGGGUAUCACCUGAUGCAGGUGAGUGAGUGAACGAAAGAAUGGGUUCGUGAGCAGUUCAGCAGGAGAAACCUGGCGGUGCUGAAAAAACUCUACCGGUGGAUGUGACUCUCACUGACUUGGAAUCGCUCACGGCUGGCGGAUGAGUGCGAUGUAUGAGGUGGGGCACACUCCGAACCCAAUUCAGACUACUCUCCCCCCAC